This 253-nucleotide ribosomal RNA is filed under the name uncultured bacterium. RNAcentral describes it as "partial 16S ribosomal RNA". It matches the Rfam family "Bacterial small subunit ribosomal RNA", at positions 524 to 776 of the family's 1533-position model. The record is from RNAcentral.
UACGUAGGUGGCAAGCGUUAUCCGGAAUUAUUGGGCGUAAAGCGCGCGCAGGCGGUUUCUUAAGUCUGAUGUGAAAGCCCACGGCUCAACCGUGGAGGGUCAUUGGAAACUGGGAGACUUGAGUGCAGAAGAGGAAAGUGGACUUCCAUGUGUAGCGGUGAAAUGCGUAGAGAUAAGGAGGAACACCAGUGGCGAAGGCGACUUUCUGGUCUGUAACUGACACUGAGGCGCGAAAGCGUGGGGAGCAAACAGG